GGUUAAGCGACUAAGCGUACACGGUGGAUGCCCUGGCAGUCAGAGGCGAUGAAGGACGUGCUAAUCUGCGAAAAGCGUCGGUAAGGUGAUAUGAACCGUUAUAACCGGCGAUGUCCGAAUGGGGAAACCCAGUGUGAUUCGUCACACUAUCGUUAACUGAAUACAUAGGUUAACGAGGCGAACCGGGGGAACUGAAACAUCUAAGUACCCCGAGGAAAAGAAAUCAACCGAGAUUCCCCCAGUAGCGGCGAGCGAACGGGGAGCAGCCCAGAGUCUGAAUCAGCUUGUGUGUUAGUGGAACGGUCUGGAAAGUCCGACGGUACAGGGUGAUAGUCCCGUACACCAAAAUGCACAGGUUGUGAACUCGAAGAGUAGGGCGGGACACGUGGUAUCCUGUCUGAAUAUGGGGGGACCAUCCUCCAAGGCUAAAUACUCCUGACUGACCGAUAGUGAACCAGUACCGUGAGGGAAAGGCGAAAAGAACCCCGGCGAGGGGAGUGAAAAAGAACCUGAAACCGUGUACGUACAAGCAGUGGGAGCACCUUCGGGUGUGACUGCGUACCUUUUGUAUAAUGGGUCAGCGACUUAUAUUCUGUAGCAAGGUUAACCGUAUAGGGGAGCCGCAGGGAAACCGAGUCUUAACUGGGCGUUAAGUUGCAGGGUAUAGACCCGAAACCCGGUGAUCUAGCCAUGGGCAGGUUGAAGGUUGGGUAACACUAACUGGAGGACCGAACCGACUAAUGUUGAAAAAUUAGCGGAUGACUUGUGGCUGGGGGUGAAAGGCCAAUCAAACCGGGAGAUAGCUGGUUCUCCCCGAAAGCUAUUUAGGUAGCGCCUCGUGAAUUCAUCUUCGGGGGUAGAGCACUGUUUCGGCUAGGGGGUCAUCCCGACUUACCAACCCGAUGCAAACUACGAAUACCGAAGAAUGUUAUCACGGGAGACACACGGCGGGUGCUAACGUCCGUCGUGAAGAGGGAAACAACCCAGACCGCCAGCUAAGGUCCCAAAGUCAUGGUUAAGUGGGAAACGAUGUGGGAAGGCACAGACAGCCAGGAUGUUGGCUUAGAAGCAGCCAUCAUUUAAAGAAAGCGUAAUAGCUCACUGGUCGAGUCGGCCUGCGCGGAAGAUGUAACGGGGCUAAACCAUGCACCGAAGCUGCGGCAGCGACACUAUGUGUUGUUGGGUAGGGGAGCGUUCUGUAAGCCUGCGAAGGUGUGCUGUGAGGCAUGCUGGAGGUAUCAGAAGUGCGAAUGCUGACAUAAGUAACGAUAAAGCGGGUGAAAAGCCCGCUCGCCGGAAGACCAAGGGUUCCUGUCCAACGUUAAUCGGGGCAGGGUGAGUCGACCCCUAAGGCGAGGCCGAAAGGCGUAGUCGAUGGGAAACAGGUUAAUAUUCCUGUACUUGGUGUUACUGCGAAGGGGGACGGAGAAGGCUAUGUUAGCCGGGCGACGGUUGUCCCGGUUUAAGCAUGUAGGCUGGUUAUCCAGGCAAAUCCGGAUAAUCAAGGCUGAGGUGUGAUGACGAGGCACUACGGUGCUGAAGUAACAAAUGCCCUGCUUCCAGGAAAAGCCUCUAAGCAUCAGGUAACAUCAAAUCGUACCCCAAACCGACACAGGUGGUCAGGUAGAGAAUACCAAGGCGCUUGAGAGAACUCGGGUGAAGGAACUAGGCAAAAUGGUGCCGUAACUUCGGGAGAAGGCACGCUGGUGUGUAGGUGAAGUCCCUGCGGAUGGAGCUGAGACCAGUCGAAGAUACCAGCUGGCUGCAACUGUUUAUUAAAAACACAGCACUGUGCAAACACGAAAGUGGACGUAUACGGUGUGACGCCUGCCCGGUGCCGGAAGGUUAAUUGAUGGGGUUAUCCGUAAGGAGAAGCUCUUGAUCGAAGCCCCGGUAAACGGCGGCCGUAACUAUAACGGUCCUAAGGUAGCGAAAUUCCUUGUCGGGUAAGUUCCGACCUGCACGAAUGGCGUAAUGAUGGCCAGGCUGUCUCCACCCGAGACUCAGUGAAAUUGAACUCGCUGUGAAGAUGCAGUGUACCCGCGGCAAGACGGAAAGACCCCGUGAACCUUUACUAUAGCUUGACACUGAACAUUGAGCCUUGAUGUGUAGGAUAGGUGGGAGGCUUUGAAGCGUGGACGCCAGUCUGCGUGGAGCCAACCUUGAAAUACCACCCUUUAAUGUUUGAUGUUCUAACGUUGGCCCCUUACCGGGGUUGCGGACAGUGUCUGGUGGGUAGUUUGACUGGGGCGGUCUCCUCCCAAAGCGUAACGGAGGAGCACGAAGGUUAGCUAAUCCUGGUCGGACAUCAGGAGGUUAGUGCAAUGGCAUAAGCUAGCUUGACUGCGAGCGUGACGGCGCGAGCAGGUGCGAAAGCAGGUCAUAGUGAUCCGGUGGUUCUGAAUGGAAGGGCCAUCGCUCAACGGAUAAAAGGUACUCCGGGGAUAACAGGCUGAUACCGCCCAAGAGUUCAUAUCGACGGCGGUGUUUGGCACCUCGAUGUCGGCUCAUCACAUCCUGGGGCUGAAGUAGGUCCCAAGGGUAUGGCUGUUCGCCAUUUAAAGUGGUACGCGAGCUGGGUUUAGAACGUCGUGAGACAGUUCGGUCCCUAUCUGCCGUGGGCGCUGGAGAAUUGAGGGGGCUGCUCCUAGUACGAGAGGACCGGAGUGGACGCAUCACUGGUGUUCGGGUUGUCAUGCCAAUGGCACUGCCCGGUAGCUAAAUGCGGAAGAGAUAAGUGCUGAAAGCAUCUAAGCACGAAACUUGCCCCGAGAUGAGUUCUCCCUGAGACUUUAAGUCUCCUGAAGGAACGUUGAAGACGACGACGUUGAUAGGCCGGGUGUGUAAGCGCAGCGAUGCGUUGAGCUAACCGGUACUAAUGAACCGUGAGGCUUAACCUU
This 2900-nucleotide ribosomal RNA is filed under the name Klebsiella pneumoniae. RNAcentral's name for it is "23S ribosomal RNA". It matches the Rfam family "Bacterial large subunit ribosomal RNA". Lineage: Bacteria; Pseudomonadati; Pseudomonadota; Gammaproteobacteria; Enterobacterales; Enterobacteriaceae. The record is from RNAcentral.